GGUGCCAUAGCCAAGUGGUAAGGCAAAGGUCUGCAACACCUCUAUCCCCGGUUCAAAUCCGGUGGCACCUCUA
RNAcentral lists this transfer RNA (73 nucleotides) under Blautia obeum. RNAcentral's name for it is "tRNA-Cys". It matches the Rfam family "tRNA". From Rfam's summary of the family: Transfer RNA (tRNA) molecules are approximately 80 nucleotides in length. Their secondary structure includes four short double-helical elements and three loops (D, anti-codon, and T loops). Lineage: Bacteria; Bacillati; Bacillota; Clostridia; Lachnospirales; Lachnospiraceae. The record is from RNAcentral.